AAAAAGUUUCCCAAAGCAAGCAGUAGCACUCAAGGUAAAGAUCUGGGAAAAUAAAUGGCCAAAGCUAUCAUGCUGUGACAGCUCUGGAAAACCUUUACACAGUUUCAUAAAACAAACACAUCUGAUGUUCUAUUCUCUGGGUAGGUCUUUACAUUAGAAGUUCAUACUUAACACAAAAGGUGAGAAAAAAUGGUUCUCUUGCUCCAAAUGUUUGCUGAGCACAUAUUGGUGAAUUAAGUAUCAUUCCAGUGGUGUACCAUAUCAGUCAGGCUCUAUCAACACAUUCAGAUGUACAGCAGUUUUGUGGAACUUUUCUGCUCCCUUUGAUGUGUGUGACUGAGGGGAGGUGGAGAUCAUUUCAGCCUGUGCUGUGGGCUUAAUAUUCAAAGGAGCUACUUUCUCUGGAUCUCAAGAAUUGUAGAAAAUAAAACAAUUGUCUGCGGGCUUGCUCUUGUUUUCAAGAAGUAUAAAACAUUCCAGUGAACUGAUAGCUAAGUGUUAUUUCAUUUGCUUUCAACACCAAUAAUUGAUCUUCUUCUAGUUUUUAUGAACUAUCUGAUGUUUUCAUGUUCAGUUAGAAAUAGAUAUAUUGAAAACUGUUAGAAUUUCACCAUUUUGGCCCUGGAACCCAAAGAGAGGGUGGUGAUGAUUAAAAACACAUACCAAAUCAAAGUUAUGCGGGAUCUGACUGAUUAGCAGCUGGCCAAUAGCAGUGUUGAAAGUAAGAAAGGAAACCACACUUGCUAAUACUCAUUCAUUAAUUUCUACUUAUGUAUGUUGUGUUUCUCUUAAACGUCCAAGAGAUCACAGGUUCAUAAAGGAAAAAAAAACUUUACAGGAAUAUAACUCACAGGACCAUUCCAAAAUUCCAGCAUAAUAACAAGGAAAAUUGAUUUCAAGUGCUUCAUAGUGUAUGGAGCCAUGAAAAGUAAGAUAAUGCUGCUUAUUUCUCACAGAGGCUUUCACUGAACCAAGAGUAGAUGGAACUUUCUGGGUUUCAAGCGAUACAUACUGCGGCAAUAAGUUUGUCAGUAUCCUUUGGAUUUUCAUCAGUAACUGGGAAAUACUAAGAACUACACCAAAUUCAGUCCCUGUUACAACUGUUACAGGCAUUAUUACACCAGAGGGACCCAAUUACAACUUUUUAAUUCUGGGUUCUUUAUAGAUAACUUGCUACUUAGAUUCAUCUUUGGUUCAAUACCUCUUGGUUUCUAUUAUGAAUAGGUAAAAAGUUAAAACGCAAGCAUUCUCUGUAAUGUUAACACGUGAAUAGUGUUUUAGAGAUUUGGUUUGGGUUUGUGCAGCAGAUUGUUUUGUGAGACAGAGCCCUUCAUAGAAACCAGACUAUUUUACUUGUAUUCUUUGGCAUUUGCAUUUAUAAAAGCUACUCAUGUUUACACACACACACACAUGAUAUUGUUCAUGUAUAUUGUUCAUCUGGUAAGGAAGAAAUAAAAAAAGAAAUUGAUACCAGUCUGCAUAUGCAUUCAAAAGCUUAGUGAAUUCUCCAAGCUCUGCUGUGGAUCAAAUUUCAUGAAUCUGCAAUAAAAAAAAAUAAUCCUU
Molecule: long non-coding RNA, 1563 nt
Organism: Pezoporus occidentalis (night parrot)
Lineage: Eukaryota; Metazoa; Chordata; Aves; Psittaciformes; Psittacidae
Exons: 2
Source: RefSeq, a predicted model, not a curated record